GAAAAACAACUGUGUCUGAAGCAUUCAGAUUGCCUAUGUUCUGAUUAGACAACGCACAGCCACAAAAAAGGAAAACUGAGGGAAUACUGUCACUACACCAGUGAUGAUACUUUAACACUAAGUACCUAACCAGAAAGAUUUUGUGGUAUCUAUUGUUUUUGCCUGAGGCUUGGACGAUAGACAAAGAAUUUGAGGACAUGAGUAAAUUUCUGGCACUACAGAAGUGAGUGCUGGAGACAGAAGAUCAGAGCUCUGUAAGGAUCUGAAAAGUAACUGCUGGGGAACAGGAGGAUGUGUGGAGACUCCGGCUGCAAUGUCUGAAGAAGAUAAGCCUCCCCAAGCAUCAGUGAG
Molecule: long non-coding RNA, 351 nt
Filed under: Apteryx rowi (Okarito brown kiwi)
Lineage: Eukaryota; Metazoa; Chordata; Aves; Apterygiformes; Apterygidae
Description: lncRNA (ENSARWG00000013648.1)
Source: RNAcentral